RNAcentral lists this long non-coding RNA (1000 nucleotides) under Dromaius novaehollandiae (emu). RNAcentral's name for it is "lncRNA (ENSDNVG00000004501.1)". The record is from RNAcentral. Lineage: Eukaryota; Metazoa; Chordata; Aves; Casuariiformes; Dromaiidae.
GGUGCCCAGAAACCGCCCAGGGAACUGCAGUCAGUUGUGCCCUUCCACGAGACCAGAAGGGUUUGAGUCAUGACUCUGYGUGGAGCACUUCGAAAGGAAGUCUCAGAGCUAUUCACAAGCUUCAAAACAAAUAAUCUCUCUGCUGAUGCGUGACAUCAUGCCCCCAAGCCUUUAAUCACACGCAGCUCCCCCGAGGAGGAGAACRAGCGCAGCGACACACACCGUUUUCGACAGGAAGUGAGGAAGAGAUCCUGCACAGCGCGCCUGAGAAGCGAGACGUCCUUCCUACCAGGCGCUGUCUCCCAACGUCAGCGAGAGCAGCGGGAGUGCGGAGUGCCAAGGGAGGGCGCACGCUGAGUCCAGGCCUGUCCCCAGCAGUGGGUGGUGCCACUAUUUCAGCCGCCGUUUACCCUGAGCAUCACACAGAGAACGGUCUGCCAAGCAAUAGCUCCGCCACAGGACUUUCAGCUGUUAUUUUUUUACUCACAGAUCCACCUCUCGGAUCAUUUUGGCUUUCUGAAGUCUGCCCCCAGACUGAUUGCAAAUACAGAGUCAGCCGGUUAUUUUCUGUACCUCAAAUGGCACGGGCUGAGUAAGGUCAGACCUCUUCCAUCUACUCCGAUCAGCUGCUACUCCCUGCGCUUAGACUUUCUUUGGUUUGAUGCCGGUGCUGUAAGCACAGAAUCCUCCUGCACAGAUCUACUCUUUAAAACUGUCACGUAUUUCUUCAGGAAAAAAAAAAAAUCCUCCUGUGAAACUACAACGUUGGGUCUGACGGCGCGUAGGCAGACGUUACAAUGACGUGAGACAGCUUCCCAGCGUGAGAGGCUGGGCCUGUGUGGCGGCGUCACCGUUACCAGGUCUCGCGUAAACUAGGCUCACUGCACUGUGGGUGUAGUUCAGCUGGAGAGAAAAGUGAUGAMAGAACAAGCUCCUGGCUGUGGAGCUCCAGUCUAACACUGGAGUUUCAUGGCAAGAAUAAAGUCAGUCUUUAUCCACA